GCCCGAAAGGGAAAGUAGACACAGGUGCUGCAUGGCUGUCGUCAGCUCGUGUCGUGAGAUGUUGGGUUAAGUCCCGCAACGAGCGCAACCCUUGCCAAUAAUUGCCAUCAUUUAGUUGGGCACUUUAUUGGGACUGCCGGUGACAAACCGGAGGAAGGUGGGGAUGACGUCAAGUCCUCAUGGCCCUUAUGGCCAGGGCUUCACACGUAAUACAAUGGUCGGUACAGAGGGUUGCCAAGCCGCGAGGUGGAGCCAAUCCCAAAAAGCCGAUCGUAGUCCGGAUUGCAGUCUGCAACUCCACUGCAUGAAGUCGGAAUCGCUAGUAAUCGCGGAUCAACAUGUCGCGGUGAAUACUUU
This 357-nucleotide ribosomal RNA is filed under the name uncultured bacterium. Its description in RNAcentral is "bacterial SSU rRNA". It matches the Rfam family "Bacterial small subunit ribosomal RNA", at positions 1014 to 1372 of the family's 1533-position model. The record is from RNAcentral.